Molecule: ribosomal RNA, 253 nt
Filed under: uncultured bacterium
Lineage: Bacteria
Description: partial 16S ribosomal RNA
Rfam family: Bacterial small subunit ribosomal RNA
Source: RNAcentral
UACGGAGGGUGCAAGCGUUAUCCGGAAUUACUGGGUUUAAAGGGUGCGUAGGCGGCUUCAUAAGUCAGGGGUGAAAGCCUAUCGCUUAACGAUAGAAUUGCCUUUGAUACUGUAAAGCUUGAAAGGGGUUGAGGUCAGCAGAAUGUGGCAUGUAGCGGUGAAAUGCGUAGAUAUCAGGAGGAACACCGGUGGCGAAGGCGGCUUCCUGGACCAAUACUGACGCUGAGGCGCGAAGGCGUGGGGAGCAAACAGG